AAUCAACGCUGGCGGCGUGCCUCAGACAUGCAAGUCGAACGCGAAAGUCCCCUUCGGGGGACAAGUAGAGUGGCGCACGGGUGAGUAACACGUAGGUAAUCUACCUUCGGGUGGGGAAUAACCCCGGGAAACCGGGGCUAAUACCGCAUAAUGCAGCGGCACCUAAUGGUGACAGUUGUUAAAGCGGGGGAUCGCAAGAUCUCGCGCCUGAAGAGGAGCCUGCGGCGGAUUAGCUAGUUGGCAGGGUAACGGCCUACCAAGGCGACGAUCCGUAGCCGGCCUGAGAGGGCGGUCGGCCACACUGACACUGACAUACGGGUCAGACUCCUACGGGAGGCAGCAGUCGGGAAUUUUGGGCAAUGGGCGAAAGCCUGACCCAGCAACGCCGCGUGAAGGAUGAAAUCCCUCGGGAUGUAAACUUCGCAAGAACGGGAGGAAUAAGUUUGUGCUAACACCACAAGCGAUGACGGUACUGUUUGUAAGCUCCGGCUAACUCCGUGCCAGCAGCCGCGGUAAUAC
Molecule: ribosomal RNA, 519 nt
Filed under: uncultured bacterium
Lineage: Bacteria
Description: bacterial SSU rRNA
Rfam family: Bacterial small subunit ribosomal RNA
Source: RNAcentral